Molecule: long non-coding RNA, 527 nt
Organism: Ornithorhynchus anatinus (platypus)
Lineage: Eukaryota; Metazoa; Chordata; Mammalia; Monotremata; Ornithorhynchidae
Exons: 5
Source: RefSeq, a predicted model, not a curated record
UUGGACACGACUCGACAGCAAAGACAAAACAUCCCGGGUCAUUUAAGACCAUGAGCAGUGCCACACUGGAAAGAUCAGUGGUCCGCCCAGGCCAGUAUUCUGCCUUCAAAAGUGAAAGCAAAGGAUGCUUGGAGAAACCGAGGGAUGGUUGUCUUUCUUAACAUCCACCCACAUCUCUAGAAGGGCCCACUCGAUGUGAGGGUCAGAAAUGACUGAAAUUCUAAGUGGAAAUGACAAGGAAGAAGCUUGACAGAGCAGAGGAGUGUGCUGGCCAGGAAGGCUGGCAGCCAGCUGACGGUCACCCCCGGCACGAGGACUGACGCAGGUUUCAGGGAAACGUCCCGAAACUUUUCCCAGCUCUUUGAUAAAGAGUUAGGAAUACUAUGCCAGCUCUAAAUUUCUCUUUUUACGAGACACCUGGUACCUGGCUCUGAAUGACCACAUCUUCCCAAUUUUGAGUUUCUACUCAUCAAACCGGACUGGUGCACGGGAGCAGGAGCAGCGGGAGCAGGAGCAGCAGCAGCAGG